CACGUAGGCGCCAAGCGUUGUCCGGAUUUAUUGGGCGUAAAGAGCUCGUAGGCGGUUCGGUAAGUCGGGUGUGAAAACUCUGGGCUCAACCCAGAGCCGCCACCCGAUACUGCUGUGACUUGAGUUCGGUAGGGGAGCGGGGAAUUCCUGGUGUAGCGGUGAAAUGCGCAGAUAUCAGGAGGAACACCAGUGGCGAAGGCGCCGCUCUGGGCCGAGACUGACGCUGAGGAGCGAAAGCGUGGGUAGCAAACAGG
Molecule: ribosomal RNA, 254 nt
Filed under: uncultured bacterium
Lineage: Bacteria
Description: partial 16S ribosomal RNA
Rfam family: Bacterial small subunit ribosomal RNA
Source: RNAcentral